AGCAGCCGCCGCGGUAAUACGUAGGGUGUGAGCGUUGUCCGGAAUUACUGGGCGUAAAGGGCUCGUAGGUGAUUUGUCGCGUCGUCUGUGAAAUUCCGGGGCUUAACUCCGGGCGUGCAGGCGAUACGGGCAUAACUUGAGUACUGUAGGGGUAACUGGAAUUCCUGGUGUAGCGGUGAAAUGCGCAGAUAUCAGGAGGAACACCGAUGGCGAAGGCAGGUUACUGGGCAGUUACUGACGCUGAGGAGCGAAAGCAUGGGUAGCGAACAGGAUUAGAUACCCGCGUAGUCCCUGUCUCUUAUU
This 303-nucleotide ribosomal RNA is filed under the name uncultured bacterium. RNAcentral describes it as "partial 16S ribosomal RNA". It matches the Rfam family "Bacterial small subunit ribosomal RNA", at positions 507 to 808 of the family's 1533-position model. The record is from RNAcentral.